UGGGGAAUUUUGGACAAUGGGCGCAAGCCUGAUCCAGCAAUGCCGCGUGCAGGAUGAAGGCCUUCGGGUUGUAAACUGCUUUUGUACGGAGCGAAAAGGUCUGCCCUAAUACGGUGGGCUCAUGACGGUACCGUAAGAAUAAGCACCGGCUAACUACGUGCCAGCAGCCGCGGUAAUACGUAGGGUGCGAGCGUUAAUCGGAAUUACUGGGCGUAAAGCGUGCGCAGGCGGUUAUAUAAGACAGGUGUGAAAUCCCCGGGCUCAACCUGGGACCUGCAUUUGUGACUGUAUAGCUAGAGUACGGUAGAGGGGGAUGGAAUUCCGCGUGUAGAAGUGAAAUGCGUAGAUAUGCGGAGGAACACCGAUGGCGAAGGCAAUCCCCUGGACCUGUACUGACGCUCAUGCACGAAAGCGUGGGGAGCAAACA
Molecule: ribosomal RNA, 427 nt
Filed under: uncultured bacterium
Lineage: Bacteria
Description: bacterial SSU rRNA
Rfam family: Bacterial small subunit ribosomal RNA
Source: RNAcentral